AAUAGAUACCCCGGUAGUCCACGCCGUAGACGAUGAGUGCUAGGUGUUAGGGGGUCCAACCCCUUAGUGCUGAAGUUAACACAUUAAGCACUCCGCCUGGGGAGUACGACCGCAAGGUUGAAACUCAAAGGAAUUGACGGGGGCCCGCACAAGCAGUGGAGCAUGUGGUUUAAUUCGAAGCAACGCGAAGAACCUUACCAGGUCUUGACAUCCUCUGACAACCCUAGAGAUAGGGCGUUCCCCUUCGGGGGACAGAGUGACAGGUGGUGCAUGGUUGUCGUCAGCUCGUGUCGUGAGAUGUUGGGUUAAGUCCCGCAACGAGCGCAACCCUUGAUGUUAGUUGCCAGCAUUCAGUUGGGCACUCUAACGUGACUGCCGGUGACAAACCGGAGGAAGGUGGGGAUGACGUCAAAUCAUCAUGCCCCUUAUGACCUGGGCUACACACGUGCUACAAUGGGCGGUACAAAGGGCAGCGAAACCGCGAGGUGGAGCCAAUCCCAUAAAGCCGCUCUCAGUUCGGAUUGCAGGCUGCAAC
This 535-nucleotide ribosomal RNA is filed under the name uncultured bacterium. Its description in RNAcentral is "bacterial SSU rRNA". It matches the Rfam family "Bacterial small subunit ribosomal RNA", at positions 777 to 1311 of the family's 1533-position model. The record is from RNAcentral.